This 393-nucleotide ribosomal RNA is filed under the name Triticum aestivum (bread wheat). RNAcentral's name for it is "partial small subunit ribosomal RNA". Lineage: Eukaryota; Viridiplantae; Streptophyta; Magnoliopsida; Poales; Poaceae. The record is from RNAcentral.
AUGCCGUCGUGGCCGAACAGCAACGAGACGUCGGACGACGAUGACGAGUACAUGAGCGAGUUCAGCAACAUGCAGAUGGAGUACUUUCAAACUCCUGACACUGUGAUAGACCCUAGUUUCUGUGGGCUUGUGACUGAAUCUGACAAAAGGUGCAUCCUGCACAGGCAGAGGGCAGGCAAGUUUGUGGCAUUUGAAGGCACUGACACUGGCAGGAGAUUCAUAGAAUGUGCUACUGAGGAUGGUGUGAACUGUGGUGUUCUGGAGUGGGUAGAUGCCCCCUGGCCUGUAAUUCUGCAAAGGUGCUUAAGCAAACUCUGGGAUAUGUAUCAUGAGCAGAACCUUGGUAGAGCCCAGGAUAAUGAGGCUCAUGGGAUAGAGGUUGCAAAACUGUAG